RNAcentral lists this long non-coding RNA (770 nucleotides) under Salvia miltiorrhiza (redroot sage). Its description in RNAcentral is "long non-coding RNA (SMIL_LNC013573)". The record is from RNAcentral. Lineage: Eukaryota; Viridiplantae; Streptophyta; Magnoliopsida; Lamiales; Lamiaceae.
GCUGAAUUAAAAUUUUAUUGAGAAAAAGAAAAACGAAAAUAACAAAGAAAACCCGUUGAAGGCACAACAGACGCAAACUAACGGGCUACGAAACUAAAACAGCGAGGACCCAGAGGGAAAAACAUCGCGAGAGGAAAAAAGAGUCAAGAAAUGUGCAGGAGCUCCAGAGCAGGAACACCAUGACAAUCAAAAGUCAAGAGCAUCAUCCUCCGUAUGAAUAUAAGAAUCCAUGAUGUCCCCCCAACGUUGAGAAGAGACCGUAUGAAUAUCAGAAUCCAUGAUGUCCCCCCAACGUUGAGGAAGACCUUUGGCCGUGCCUUCUUGGAUGUUACUCUGGAAAAUCGAAAUAUCCGAAGGUCUACUAAUGUUGUAGCCUGGAAUAGCAGGAUGUCGUAACCUGUGCUUUAAAGAGGUAUCAGAAACCCCCCCUUUCCCGACUUGCUUGGUAGCGCCCUUAGGACGCCCUCUGCCUCGCUUGCCCGUAGGAGCUUCAGCGAACCUGACCAAGAGGCACAAAUCACGAGUCGAAUCACAUGCAGAGGGACGAUUGAAGCACCAGACUCAGGGGUGCGAACGAUGCAAGGCUCAUCCUGAGAUGCUGAAGUCGUAAUAGCGGCUGUUGGUAUGCCACUACUAGAAUUAGGCACAACAUGUGUGGGAGACACUGCCCCAGACGGUUUCUCGAGUACCACUUGGGAAGCAUGGUUAGAGAUGCCCAAAAAAUCUGGGGCAUUCAUCGUAGCCGCAUCGAUCCCAUGACUUGAAUCCUC